GCAAGUGGAACGCAUGAUUGAUACCGUAGCUUGCUACACCAUAAUCAUGAGUCGCGAACGGGUGAGUAACGCGUAGGUAACCUGCCUACUAGCGGGGGAUAACUAUUGGAAACGAUAGCUAAUACCGCAUAAGAGUUUUUAACACAUGUUAGAAAUUUAAAGGAGCAAAUGCUUCACUAGUAGAUGGACCUGCGUUGUAUUAGCUAGUUGGUAAGGUAACGGCUUACCAAGGCGACGAUACAUAGCCGACCUGAGAGGGUGAUCGGCCACACUGGGACUGAGACACGGCCCAGACUCCUACGGGAGGCAGCAGUAGGGAAUCUUCGGCAAUGGGGGGAACCCUGACCGAGCAACGCCGCGUGAGUGAAAGAAGGUUUUCGGAUCGUAAAGCUCUGUUGUAAGAGAAGAACGUUGAGUAGAGUGGAAAGUUACUCAAGUGACGGUAUCUUACCAGAAAGGGACGGCUAACUACGUGCCAGCAGCUGC
RNAcentral lists this ribosomal RNA (486 nucleotides) under uncultured bacterium. RNAcentral's name for it is "bacterial SSU rRNA". It matches the Rfam family "Bacterial small subunit ribosomal RNA", at positions 57 to 518 of the family's 1533-position model. The record is from RNAcentral.